Molecule: ribosomal RNA, 669 nt
Filed under: uncultured bacterium
Lineage: Bacteria
Description: bacterial SSU rRNA
Rfam family: Bacterial small subunit ribosomal RNA
Source: RNAcentral
AGUUUGAUCAUGGCUCAGGAUGAAUGCUGGCGGCGUGCCUUAGGCAUGCAAGUCAAGGGGGUUUGUAGCAAUACAGACAACCGGCAGACGGGUGAGUAACGCGUAGGAAUCUACCUCUAGGCGGAACAUAGCUCAGCGAAAGCUGGGGUAAUUUUCCAUGGUUCUCGUAAGAGUAAAGGACUUAACGGUCCGCCAAGAGAUGAGCCUGCGUCCUAUCAGCUUGUUGGUGGGGUAAAUGCCUACCAAGGCGAUGACGGGUAGCUGGACUGAGAGGUCGGUCAGCCACAACUGCACUGAAACACGGGCAGUACACCUACGGGUGGCAGCAACUAGGAAUGGUUCGCAAUGGACGAAAGUCUGGCGACGCGACGCCGCGUGAAGGAUGAAGGCCUAUGGGUCGUAAACUUCUUUUGAUAAGCCGUUCACAGCUUAUAGAAUAAGCCUCUACUAACUACGUGCCAGAAGUCUCGGUAAUACGUAGGAGGCAAGCAUUAUCCGGAUUUAUUGGGCGUAAAGUGUGCGUAGGCGGUUUGAUAAGUCUAUUCUUAAAUACCGAAGCUCAACUUCGGGCCUGGAAUAGAUACUACCAAACUUGAGGAUUGUUAGGGAUGCUAGAACAGUUAGUGUAGCAGUGAAAUGCGUUGAUAUUAACUGGAAUACCAAAGGCGA